Molecule: ribosomal RNA, 253 nt
Filed under: uncultured bacterium
Lineage: Bacteria
Description: partial 16S ribosomal RNA
Rfam family: Bacterial small subunit ribosomal RNA
Source: RNAcentral
UACGUAGGGUGCAAGCGUUGUCCGGAAUUAUUGGGCGUAAAGAGCUUGUAGGCGGUUUGUCGCGUCUGCCGUGAAAUUUCGGGGCUCAACCCCGAACUUGCGGUGGGUACGGGCAGACUAGAGUGUGGUAGGGGAGACUGGAAUUCCUGGUGUAGCGGUGAAAUGCGCAGAUAUCAGGAGGAACACCGGUGGCGAAGGCGGGUCUCUGGGCCGAUACUGACGCUGAGGAGCGAAAGCGUGGGGAGCGAACAGG